Molecule: ribosomal RNA, 253 nt
Filed under: uncultured bacterium
Lineage: Bacteria
Description: partial 16S ribosomal RNA
Rfam family: Bacterial small subunit ribosomal RNA
Source: RNAcentral
UACGAAGGGGGCUAGCGUUGUUCGGAUUUACUGGGUUUAAAGGGAGCGCAGGCGGGCGAUCAAGUCAGUGGUGAAAUCUUUCGGCUUAACCGGAAAACUGCCAUUGAUACUGAUUGUCUUGAAUAUUGUUGAGGUAUGCGGAAUAGGUCAUGUAGCGGUGAAAUGCAUAGAUAUGACCUGGAACCCCUAUUGCGAAGGCAGCAUACUAAGCGAUGAUUGACGCUGAGGCUCGAAAGCGUGGGUAGCGAACAGG